GCUCUUUUUUGUGUCGCUAUGCUUACGGGAUACGAGCAGGCAUUAUUUUGCUUUGGCGGUAUCGAAGCUUCACCAUGUACAAAUCAUGCGUGUUGUUUUCCGCUAAAUUGCAGAACGGACAAUACCUGUACUUUUAAACCUCUUAACAAAUAAAGCUGAAAUGUCCUACAUUCUUACCGGAAGAAGAAGGAGAAAUGAGAACUUUGAAUUUCCGCGAAUCCCUGCCUAUAAUUUCUUACAAGCAUGGAUUUUGUUAUACACAUUCGAAUUUCCAAUUCUCGCCUCGACGACCAUCGCUUGAUCAGGAUUGCCUCGGAAAUUAAAAUUACUUUAAUGGCAUUAGUUUGUCGAAUUAUCAAGUCAAGUUAAUAAUGUAACGAUAACUUAAACUGUGUGAAUUUAUUUAGAGAUUUUUAUUUCUUUCAAAAAUGUUGAAUUAUACCCACAUUACGAUUCUUUACAAGCAUUUAAAAACUGAUGCGUUUUAUCCUAUCUAUUGUAUGUUUCUCAAAAUUUAAAUAAAAAAUAUUAUACCAUUGCAAA
Molecule: long non-coding RNA, 543 nt
Organism: Belonocnema kinseyi
Lineage: Eukaryota; Metazoa; Arthropoda; Insecta; Hymenoptera; Cynipidae
Exons: 2
Source: RefSeq, a predicted model, not a curated record